RNAcentral lists this long non-coding RNA (1348 nucleotides) under Cricetulus griseus (Chinese hamster). Its description in RNAcentral is "lncRNA (ENSCGRG00015032067.1)". Lineage: Eukaryota; Metazoa; Chordata; Mammalia; Rodentia; Cricetidae. The record is from RNAcentral.
UGCUCCAGCAGCACAAUGUGAUCCACUGGCAAGGAGUAGGCUCGUGACACUGUGGAACCGACUCUACCUCUCAUUUAAGAGAUAGAAAAAUGCAGGAACAAGGAAGUGACUUCACCUAUCGAUGAAUCCAGCUGUGACCCGUCUCUGAGCUGAAGCAACAUCAAAGCAAAUCAAGUCAGUGACUAAUUUAACCUGAGGACACUCACUCUCUUCCAAAGAGAACUCAGAAACAUGCCCGUUAAAAGCUAAGACAUAUCCUUAAGCAUGGGCCUUGGAAUCUUUCCCCUGAUUCCUGUCAUUAGUUAGAGAAAGUGGACCAAACACUGGAAUCUGAAUAAUUACUGUUUAUUCCUGAAGAACAAUCUAGAAAGAUUAGUCCAGGACAGAAAUGAGCUUUUAUGGAUGAACUUUUAAAUAUGUAUUUUCACUUUCACUCCAGUCUAGGGAAUUAUGACAAAAUAUUUCCCCCGUGUUCAAUUAUAAAAAUUGUCACAUAUUACAGCAACACAAUCAAUAAAUGAAGAAAUGAAUUUACAUGUUGUAAUAGAGAAUCUUUCUUUUCUUUUUCUUUUGGAAAGAAUAAAUCAGCUUUUUAUUCUUCUAAGAGACUGAAGGACACCUGGGUUGGCUUGUGUGACCUUUCUUUUUUAUUUCUGCCUCUAAUGCUACAAAUCUUUUCCAGUAGAGUCAUCAGGCUAACCAAGUGCAGUUUUUCCCCAUCAGGCCCUGCUGGAGUGUCUUUCACUUCUGCUGUUGCUCCGUGUGUUUCUAGCCUCCAUGCUCUUGCUGGUCUCUUCUGUCCCUGGUGUCACCAGUCACCCCUGAGGACAGAAAAGAGCUCUUCUCCUUGCAGCCAUCACACAUUUGUUUUCAGCUACUGCUUCUCCUCCUCCUUCUGCCACUGCUGUUUUGUUUUGUUUUGUUUUGUUUUGUUUGUUUGCCUGCUUGCUUUUUCAAAACUUUUUUCUGUGUAGCUCUGGCUGUCCUGGAACUCACUCUGUAGACCAGACUGGCCUUGAAUCUAUCUACUUCUGCCUCCUGAUUGCUGGGAUUAAAGAUGUGCCCUGCACUACCACUGUCUGGCUUGUUUUCAACUUCUUCACAUGGCAGGAAUGUCACCCAUUUGAUAGAUAGUGAGUCAACAUCCUACUUGCAACAAUUCCUGUCAGAUGACUCCUUUGAGUCACAAACUGACGCAUGUGCCUUGUCAUCUUUCCCCUGUAGGUAAGAAUGGCCCUUUGCCUGUCUCCUCUUUGUUUUAAACACCCUUCUGCUAUAUUGUACGUAAUCGUAUUUAAAGUUGACUUUCUGUUUUGCCUCAGCACUAAGACCCAUAAUGAGUAUCAAU